GCGGGUGUAGUAUAGUGGCUAUUAUGCGACCCUUCCAAGGUCGAGACGUGGGUUCGAUUCCCAUCACCCGCUCAA
RNAcentral lists this transfer RNA (75 nucleotides) under Candidatus Nealsonbacteria bacterium CG_4_10_14_0_2_um_filter_38_17. RNAcentral's name for it is "tRNA-Gly". It matches the Rfam family "tRNA". From Rfam's summary of the family: Transfer RNA (tRNA) molecules are approximately 80 nucleotides in length. Their secondary structure includes four short double-helical elements and three loops (D, anti-codon, and T loops). The record is from RNAcentral. RNAcentral also lists the same sequence under 1 other name. Lineage: Bacteria; Candidatus Nealsoniibacteriota.